CAACCAGGAGAGCUGUCCUAAUGCCUUCAACAAAUAUAUUGUAACAUCAUCCACCAAUGCAAUUAAGGGGCCAUUGUUCAAUUUAAUUUGAAAAGCUU
This is a long non-coding RNA of Telopea speciosissima, 98 nucleotides long. RefSeq lists it as uncharacterized. NCBI's taxonomy places the organism in Eukaryota, Viridiplantae, Streptophyta, Magnoliopsida, Proteales, Proteaceae. The record is from RefSeq and is a predicted model, not a curated record. The transcript is spliced from 3 exons.